Molecule: transfer RNA, 64 nt
Filed under: Sclerodermus sichuanensis
Lineage: Eukaryota; Metazoa; Arthropoda; Insecta; Hymenoptera; Bethylidae
Also listed under: 1 other name
Description: tRNA-Met
Source: RNAcentral
UAUAUAAUAAGUUAAUUUAAACUAUUAGAUUCAUAAUCUAACAAUAAAUGUAUUUUUUAUAUAA